RNAcentral lists this ribosomal RNA (450 nucleotides) under uncultured bacterium. RNAcentral's name for it is "partial 16S ribosomal RNA". It matches the Rfam family "Bacterial small subunit ribosomal RNA", at positions 354 to 796 of the family's 1533-position model. The record is from RNAcentral.
GUGGGGAAUUUUGGACAAUGGGCGCAAGCCUGAUCCAGCAAUGCCGCGUGCAGGAAGAAGGCCUUCGGGUUGUAAACUGCUUUUGUACGGAACGAAACGGUCCGGGUUAAUACCCUGGGCUAAUGACGGUACCGUAAGAAUAAGCACCGGCUAACUACGUGCCAGCAGCCGCGGUAAUACGUAGGGUGCGAGCGUUAAUCGGAAUUACUGGGCGUAAAGCGUGCGCAGGCGGUUAUGUAAGACAGAUGUGAAAUCCCCGGGCUCAACCUGGGAACUGCAUUUGUGACUGCAUGACUGGAGUGCGGCAGAGGGGGAUGGAAUUCCGCGUGUAGCAGUGAAAUGCGUAGAGAUGCGGAGGAACACCGAUGGUGAAGGCAGCCUCCUGGGAUAACACUGACGCUCAGGCACGAAAGCGUGGGGAGCAAACAGGAUUAGAAACCCCUGUAGUCC